This is an RNA transcript of Sebastes umbrosus (honeycomb rockfish), 3359 nucleotides long. It is a transcript of the gene named 5'-AMP-activated protein kinase subunit gamma-2-like, with no coding region annotated. Lineage: Eukaryota; Metazoa; Chordata; Actinopteri; Perciformes; Sebastidae. The transcript has 16 exons. The record is from RefSeq and is a predicted model, not a curated record.
CAGUAGUCAUUAAAGACGCGUGCACUGUGCUCUGCCUCGCCUACUUCCUGGUGGAUGUGAUGAGGCAGCGUCUCUCAGUGUUGUCGUAGUGAGCAGAGAGCAGAGAGCAGAGCAGAGAGAGGGCAGCUGAAGUGAAGGAGGUUGAUGUGUUUGAUGGUCUGCAGUUAGUUAGUUAGUUUUCUUUUUUGUCUCCUUUGAUGAAACGAUGGGCAGCACGGUGAUGGAGUCCAGCGAGGACAGCUCCAAGAAGACGCCGAGGAAGAGGAGAAGUCUGCGGAUUAACAUGCCAGACUUUGGUGCGUUUACUUCCCCACAAGUGGAGACGAGUGGCUCAACCAAAAGUGGCGCUCAGACGGGGGAGCGUCGCAUCCGUUCAGCCAGCCCCACCAAAGGAGUGUUGAUGAGGAGCCCGCCCAUCGCCCCUCUGCCCACACACCCUCAGUCUGCUCCGGUGGCAUUGAGGACCAUCUCAGGUUCCCCCAAAUCUAUCUUCCCCUAUCCCUCCUAUCAGGACUCUCCACCCAAGUCCCCCCGCCGCCUGAGCCUGAGUGGUAUCUUCCGCUCCUCAUCCAGCUCCACACCUGCAGGCAUCAAAAUCUUCUCCAGGACCAGGAGAGCCUCUGGACUCUCCACACCACCCAGCACCCCGACCCAGGCGUCCAGCCAGCCUGUGUUCACCCAGGAGGCCCAACCGAGCGGACCCAGCCCUGAACGCCUGGAAGCGAUCACCCGAUCCCGUUCGAUCUCCACACCUCCAGACACAGGACAUCGCCUCAGCCUUCCCUCUGCCAAACCCCCGAUCCCUUCCUCGAGCCCUGUGCCAUCUUACUCUACCUCGCAACAAGUCUACGGUUUAUUCGAAGGCAUGCUGGAGAAACUUGAACUAGAUGAUGAUGCUGCUGAACCUGAGAGUGAUAUUUACAUGCGCUUCAUGAAAUCCCACAAGUGCUACGACAUCGUCCCCACGAGCUCCAAGCUGGUCGUGUUCGACACGGCGCUCCAAGUUAAGAAAGCGUUCUUCGCCUUGGUGGCCAACGGUGUGCGAGCUGCUCCACUAUGGGACACAGAGAAGCAAAGCUUUGUGGGAAUGCUGACAAUCACAGAUUUCAUCAUCAUACUACACAGAUACUAUAAGUCGCCGAUGGUGCAAAUAUAUGAAUUAGAGGAACAUAAGCUUGAGACGUGGAGAGAGGUUUACCUUCAAGCAACGUUCAAACCUCUGGUCAACAUAUCACCUGAUGCAAGCCUAUUUGACGCCGUGUACACCCUCAUCAAAAACAAAAUUCACCGCCUGCCUGUCAUCGACCCCGUCACAGGGAACGCACUUUAUAUUCUCACACACAAGAGGAUCCUCAAGUUCCUCCAGCUUUUUAUGUGUGAGAUGCCGAAGCCAGCCUUCAUGAAGCAGACUCUCGGGGAGCUGGGUAUUGGCUCGUACCACGACAUCGCUUUCAUCCACCCGAACACGCCCAUCAUCAAAGCACUCAACAUUUUUGUGGAGAGACGAGUUUCUGCCCUGCCUGUGGUGGAUGAGUCGGGCAAAGUUGUGGACAUUUACUCCAAGUUUGACGUGAUUAACUUGGCUGCUGAGAAGACGUACAACAACCUGGACAUUACAGUGACGCAGGCUCUCAAACAUCGCUCCCAGUACUUCGAAGGGGUCAUGAAGUGCCAUAAAAUGGAAACAAUGGAGACCAUUGUGGACAGAAUAGUCAAAGCUGAAGUGCAUCGGUUGGUGGUGGUGGACGAGCGCUCCAGCAUCGAGGGCAUCGUCUCCCUGUCAGACAUCCUCCAGGCUCUGGUACUCAGCCCUGCAGGUAUAGAUGCUAAGGAUUGGUAGCCCCAACUCCCCCCUUCUUAUCCUGGACCCUCAGCUCUGUCCCCCACCCCGCCCUCUAACCCUGUCCCAGAUAUCUGUAAGGAGGAGAACCUGGCUGAGUGAGAGGGAGGAAGCAUCAGCUGGAGUGGAGACGUGGUGGGAGUAAAUGCGUUUGGUGGUUGAGGUGAGGGAGCGCGAGGCUGAGCAGAGCCAGACCCAAUGUCCCAGAGACGCCUGCAACUGAUGCACUAUAGGGGCUUGGAAACCAAAGAGCUAGACAGCUGAAUGAAGUGGAGUUCCUGCACUGAGGAUUGACUUUCUGGGUGUUUUCUUUUUUGUUUAGUUUGUUUGAACACUGAUCAGAUGCACACACACACAGUAUACUGUAUUUAUACACACACACACACACACACACAUACACAGACAUGCAUUAUGGUCACCUGCCGGGUGAAAGGUGGGACUGGUUCUGAUGAAUUAGGGCUUCAGUGUUUUGGGUUGUGUAGUUGCGAUCAUGCUGCUGUCAUCAGUUGAUUUUUAGUAGCGUUUUGUUGUCGAUACUGAACGUCAUCACCUCCUGGAGUUUUUGGUGAGAAAGGUGAACAUUCACAGAUGCAACUUAUUGUUUGGAGGCAAAACAAUUCACCUACAAUGUGGCCGUUUUAUGACUGUUGUCGUUUAAAAAGAUAUUUGCCAGUGCCAAGGUGUAGGGAUUGAUGCCCAAUCUUUAUUUGUGCCUUUUGUUGCCCUGACCACACCACUUUAAAACUGACAGUAUUUGUGUCCUUUGACUUUUUACUGUCAAAUGAGUGCAAUUAUUAGUUUUUUUUUAAAGAUAUGAAUGUUUGAUCCUUCUACAUCUAAUUCAAAAAUGUUUUUUUCCCUUUAUUUGGUUGCAUUUUCUGUGAUUUUAAACCAUAUCAGAAAUGUCAAGAAUUUCUGUUAAAUAGAUCUAAUUCUAAAAGAAUAUACUCUAAAUAAAAUCAAUCAUUUUGGCACAAAAACACGCAGUGGUCAGAGGCAAAUAAGCUAUACAUCAAUAUGGAUUAUAUCAGCCAAGAACUGAGUGAACACUUCUCACUCAUUUUACAUCAGUUGUCAUUUAUUGCGACUUAACGAUGCAAGACCGGAAAAUGUCUUUUUAGAUGUUUAAAAAAACAUAUUUUUUACAUUUACUUUCAGUUGUUUUGUGUCGCUUCAGAUCAUCUGCAAACAUGCAAAACAACUCGGUUAUCUCAGCUGUAGCUCAACAGGACUCAUCUCCAUCUUUGACUGUAAAUAGGAUCGUUUUCGGGAAACGUGUCACAUAAAGCUUUAUUUUUAUGAAUGUGUCAACAUGUGUAAAGAGACUGCAGUUUUAAUGUUAUUUUUGUAAAUAUAUUGUGGCAAUAUGUCCGGUUCAGAGAGACUUUGUAUCAGAUCAAAAUGUACUGUAAACGUGCAAGCAUGAGAAACUACACUUCAGCAGUAUGAAUGUCCUUUGUUUUACUUUUUCUAUUUUUCUGGCUGCAGAAAAAUAAAUGGACACUGAAUGUACUUUAAA